Ictidomys tridecemlineatus (thirteen-lined ground squirrel) is the source of this 1162-nucleotide non-coding RNA. The record is from RefSeq and is a predicted model, not a curated record. Lineage: Eukaryota; Metazoa; Chordata; Mammalia; Rodentia; Sciuridae.
AUGCAGUCCUGUGACCAACCCGGCACUUUUCCAAUCACAGACUGUUAAGAUCUCUGACAACAGAACCUGCAGUUGUUUGAGGAGGAGAUUUCAACAGUGACCUGUAUACUUGAAAAGCACAUCUUAGUGGCAACACUGCAGCUGUUACUACCAACAUCUGGAUCAGAGAUUCCGGUGUGCCUACCUCCUCCUGGGUUAGCAGGAGAAUGAAGAUGCGGAAGGAAGGGUGGAGAGAGGCCCCAGGGCUGUGCUAUAUGCUCCUCACAGAUCAUGUAUGCAAGGCCUUUUUCAUAUCAUGGAGGAAACUUGGAACAUGGAAUACUGAAUGACUACAUAAGAUUCUAUUAAGUGCUUAUGUAACUACUUAACUAACAAUUUCUUUUCUUGUUUCCAUUUUUGUUUUACCAUAAUAAACAAAAGAGGGUUUAUUUUCCAAUGAAGUUAGAUGUUCCCUGUGCAAAUUCAUGUGUUGAAGCCCUAACUCCAUGACAGUUAUAUUUGAAGGAAGUUAUUAAAGUUAAAGGAGGCCAUUGGGCUGGAACUCUGACCCACAAGGAUUCAUGUCCUUUUAAGAGACCCCAGAGAGUGAGCUAACUCUCUCUCUCUCUCCAUCCCACAUCCCACAGCAAGAAGUGGUGGUGGUCUAUAAACCAGGAAGAGAACCCUCACCAGGAACUGAAUGGGCCAGCACCUUGAUCUUGGACUCUUAGCCUCCAGAACGGUGACAGAUUCCUGUUGUUGAAUCCACCUAGUCUGUGGCAUUUUGUUAUGGCAGCCGGGGAUGAUGAGGACAAUAUCUUUGGGUGUGAGGCCCAUGCUUUAUUUUGCCAGCCCUCCAUCUGCUCUAUGCUUGGGCUCCACAUCCCCAACUGAUUCACUUAAAAACACUAGUUCAAUAAUAAAAUAAUUAAGAAUAUCAAGAUAGUUAUAGCAGAACAUGGAAACAAGCGUGAGGCCUCAUGAACGUGGACUCUGGGACUUCACGGGCCACUUGCCCAUGAAGUCAGCCCUGACCCUGGACAGCUUUUGUGUUCCCGCUGUGAGCAUCUGAACCUCCUUCCCCAUUUGUCCCCACUUAGAUCUUGGCAUCUGACAGAUAUUCAAUAAAUGCUUUAUGUUGUUCAAUAUCUGGUGACACAUAACUGACUCUUAGCUCUGUGUU